GAUGAACGCUGGCGGCGUGCCUAAUACAUGCAAGUCGAGCGGCAGCACGGUCUUCGGACUGGUGGCGAGCGGCGGACGGCUGAGUAACGCGUAGGAAUAUACCCAAAGUGAGGGAUAACUGCCCGAAAGGGUGGCUAAUACCGCAUGUGGUCUUCGGACUAAAGCCUUCGGGCGCUUUGGGAAUAGCCUGCGUAAGAUUAGCUAGUUGGUGAGGUAAUGGCUCACCAAGGCGACGAUCUUUAGCUGGUCUGAGAGGAUGACCAGCCAGACUGGAACUGAGACACGGUCCAGACUCCUACGGGAGGCAGCAGUAGGGAAUUUUCCACAAUGGGCGAAAGCCUGAUGGAGCAACGCCGCGUGCAGGAUGAAGGCCCUCGGGUCGUAAACUGCUUUAUGUGCGAAGAAUAUGACGGUAACACAUGAAUAAGGGUCGGCUAACUACGUGCCAGCAGCCGCGGUAAU
RNAcentral lists this ribosomal RNA (462 nucleotides) under uncultured bacterium. RNAcentral's name for it is "bacterial SSU rRNA". It matches the Rfam family "Bacterial small subunit ribosomal RNA", at positions 28 to 524 of the family's 1533-position model. The record is from RNAcentral.